GGUUAGUGGCGGACGGGUGAGUAACACGUGGGAACGUGCCUUUAGGUUCGGAAUAAGCUCGGGAAACUGGGUCUAAUACCGAAUGUGCCCUUCGGGGGAAAGAUUUAUCGCCUUUAGAGCGGCCCGCGUCUGAUUAGCUAGUUGGUGGUGUAAUGGACCACCAAGGCGACGAUCAGUAGCUGGUCUGAGAGGAUGACCAGCCACAUUGGGACUGAGACACGGCCCAAACUCCUACGGGAGGCAGCAGUGGGGAAUUUUGGACAAUGGACGCAAGUCUGAUCCAGCAAUGCCGCGUGCAGGACGAAGGCCUUCGGGUUGUAAACUGCUUUUGUACGGAACGAAACGGUCUGCUUUAAUACAGUGGGCUAAUGACGGUACCGUAAGAAUAAGCACCGGCUAACUACGUGCCAGCAGCCGCGGUAAUACGUAGGGUGCGAGCGUUAAUCGGAAUUACUGGGCGUAAAGCGUGCGCAGGCGGUUAUAUAAGACAGAUGUGAAAUCCCCGGGCUCAACCUGGGACCUGCAUUUGUGA
RNAcentral lists this ribosomal RNA (532 nucleotides) under uncultured Albidiferax sp. Its description in RNAcentral is "bacterial SSU rRNA". It matches the Rfam family "Bacterial small subunit ribosomal RNA", at positions 90 to 632 of the family's 1533-position model. The record is from RNAcentral. Lineage: Bacteria; Pseudomonadati; Pseudomonadota; Betaproteobacteria; Burkholderiales; Comamonadaceae.